RNAcentral lists this ribosomal RNA (295 nucleotides) under uncultured bacterium. Its description in RNAcentral is "partial 16S ribosomal RNA". It matches the Rfam family "Bacterial small subunit ribosomal RNA", at positions 334 to 626 of the family's 1533-position model. The record is from RNAcentral.
UAGUCCUACGGGGGGCAGCAGUGAGGAAUAUUGGUCAAUGGGCGGAAGCCUGAACCAGCCAAGUCGCGUGAGGGAAUAAGGCCCUACGGGUCGUAAACCUCUUUUGCAGGGGAGCAAGGGCGGGGACGUGUCCCGGCCCGGAGAGUACCCGGAGAAAAAGCAUCGGCUAACUCCGUGCCAGCAGCCGCGGUAAUACGGAGGAUGCGAGCGUUAUCCGGAUUUAUUGGGUUUAAAGGGUGCGUAGGCGGGCUUUUAAGUCAGCGGUAAAAAAUCGAGGCUCAACCCCGUACGGUCG